RNAcentral lists this long non-coding RNA (6797 nucleotides) under Arabidopsis lyrata. RNAcentral's name for it is "long non-coding RNA (ALYR_LNC002833)". The stretch from base 1831 to 1904 matches the Rfam family "tRNA". Lineage: Eukaryota; Viridiplantae; Streptophyta; Magnoliopsida; Brassicales; Brassicaceae. The record is from RNAcentral.
GAUCAUGUGAGUUAUUAACUUUGAAAACCAUACUUUAUAUAAUAAGAUAUAGUUUUAGGAAUUGAAAUAUCAUCAUUCUUCUAAGAACCCUAUAAAUACCCACUAAACACUUGAAGAAAACUAAAUACAGUACUAAUUCACCUUUUGUAGGAGCUAUUCCACUCGACAAACAAAUGACUCCAAGAACCUCUCUUACACUCUUGAUCCUUGCUCUCAACCUCCUCUUCUUCACUUACACAUCUGCCGCAUUAUUGCCACCGAUCCCGGGCAUCACGGUCCUCCCGGGCAUCACGGUCAUCCCGGGCAUCACCGUCCCGGGCAUCACGGUCCCGGGCAUCCCGGCCACGCCAAACACCCCAGCCACGCCAAACACCCCGACCAAGCCAAACACCCCGACCAAGCCAAACACCCCGACCAAGCCAACGAUCCCGACCACGCCAGCCACCCCAGCCACCCCAGCAACGCCAGCCACCCCUGCCACUCCAGCCACCCCAGCAACGCCAAACACCCCAACGUCUCCGACACUCCGCACACCUCCAGGCACAGGUUCUUUAUCCUAGAGAUGCUCUAAAGAACGGUGUUUAAGCUAUUGGACCUAAGAUUGGAAUCUCACCUGAGCCAUGUUGCUCAUCUAAGGCUUUUUGUUGUUUAUAUUUGGUUUUUAUGUGUGCAACUUAUGCAUUUGCUGAGUAUCUUGAAUUUCUAAAGUUUGUUUGUUUUAAGAAAAUAUGUCGCACAUAAUUUAGACAGCAUAUAAAAUAUUUUCUAACUUUUAUCAUUUUUCAAAUACACAGGUUUACUUUUUCUCUACGUAAUUAGACUUUAUUUUAUGAGGAUAAACUAUGACUUUUUGUUAAAGUUUUGCAUUGAAACAACACUUUUUUUUUGAAAAGAAAACAAAGAUCUAAAACAACACUUAAUUUUAAAAGAAAUAAUGUAUUUUGUAAAGGAUUUUUUUUUUUUUUGUAUAUAAAAAAUUAAUAUUUCAUCCCAACCGGAUUUUAGGCCAUGGACUUGGGAAAUGGGGUUUACAUCUAAUUUACAAUUUCAAAAAAAGAAGGAAACCGAUGACUCGAAAUUGGACAUUGAUGGUGUUCGGAAACAAGGAAACACAUCCACUACUACCGGCGAUUACAAGAAACACUGCUUUGCGGCUACAUCAACGAUAUCGAAUCCAGGUAAUAAGUUCAUGUCGCAAAGCCGAUCCGGACGACAAGCCUCAACCCGCAACAUUUAUCCCGAAAUAGAUCGGUUCUCAGAAAAUCUGAGACCUAAUCUAUCUAAUCCCCUACCUAGCAAAAAGGGAGAACUCAGAUCGAUCUAACACUUAGCCUCCGGUACCAACAAGCAUCAGACAUAAAAAAAGGGACCUUUCAGCUUCAUAUGUCAAGGUUCCAGAUCGCUAUGUUGACGCUAUCUUCUAACCACCACGUUAUAUAUCCUUCUUGUUGCACUUGCACCACAAAACCUCUAUAUUUCAUUUUCAGAUCUCUUUUUCUAUGUAUACGUAAACAUAUCUAUAUAGUAUAUAUACGUUAUUGGAAUUCUUUGCUAAGAACUUGAAAUGAAGCAAACAGUCUUAUUAGGUAACACAAAAAAAAAAGAAGUUUUUUUCAGAUUUCUCAAUGUUCUUUUACCAAAAUAUGUUAUUGUUCUUUUUUUCCGCCAAAUAUGGUAUUGUUCAUAUUCAAGGUCCGUGAGCUUUGCUUCAGAGUAGUAGGCUUUGGAUACUUUUGAUAAAACCCCAUAUUGUAUGUCAAGGCCCAUUAAGAUGCGGAUCCAAGCCUUGACGUUUAAACAAAUAUAAGUCUUCUCGUAGGUAACAUCAAAGGCCUAUUAGCUCAGUUGGUUAGAGCGUCGUGCUAAUAACGCAAAGGUCACAGGUUCGAUCCCUGUAUAGGCCAUUACUUUUUAUAUUUUUAGUCAUCGUCGUUCCAACUUCCCCAACCAUCAUCAAUAUUUGAUUUUCAUUCCACUCAGGUGGUCACUUCACCAGUAGAGUUUUUGUGUGAAUUGAUAACAAAAAUGUUUGUAAGCUUAAAUUUUUCCUGUGCAUAGUAAAACAAAAAAACCAAGCACUGUAAUCUCUUCUUGGAGAUUUUUUUAGCCACCAACACUGUUCAUUCGUCUAACUUAACUUUUUUUUUUUUUUUUGAUAAACCCUAUCGGCUGAUCCGGUCGGCCUCGGUAGGAACACACCGAGGUGCUACAGAGUGGACUUCUUCCGAUCCAGGUAGAAUUGGGUCACCACACUGGCUGAUCCGAGUUUGGAAUGCCUUCCGACUAAUGCCAGGGGUAGUCAGGCCGCCUGCAUUUCUGACUACCAGGUAAACCAAUUGGGCCAAGGUCCAACUGAGUAACUGACAGACUUCCCAAACAAAUGUGUUUUUGUUUCCAGGGAGAAUCGAACUCGGGUCUGGGAGUUUCACCCAAAUUCACUUCCACACAAUACAAAUUUGUAACAAAGGUUAAUGAAUUCUUGUGAUUUAUCAACAAACAAAAAUAACCAAAAUGUGACAUAUGAGAGACUAAGUUGUUGUAGACUAAUGGUUAUCACUUAAAAUGUAAAAAAAUUUCGUAGGUCUAGAUCAAGAAUCGAUUACUCUCAAAUAUUUUAAGAAAAAUCUGCACUUUGUAGUACAUUGGUUACCCUUAGAUAUUUUAAAUAUUUUUAAAAGCUAUGAUUUUUAUGGGUUCUGGAAAUUAAUUUUGAUUUUAAUUUAGUAUUUCUCUGUUUGAAAAAGAAAAGCAACUAAAUAAAAUAGAAAACAUGUAGAAAAAAUCAUGAUAUUUUUGCCUGUCCAAUUGUGAAAGUAGAUGGUUGGAUCUUUGUGUUUGGCAAAAUGGCAAUAGAAACGUAGAUCUAUAUUAUGACAAAACAAAAAAAAAAUCGAAGAGGCAAAAGCGCCAAUCUGUUAACUGAUUCAAAGCCACUCCUUCCAUAUCUUUGUUCAUAAACAAACGCUUAUCUUCUUAUCAUCUUCAAAAGUUUUCUCUUUUGCCUCUCAACAUUACAUGCCCUACAACAUAAAUGCGAGGACGUCGGUUAUAAACGGACACUAACAAAAUUAUGUCGUUUAUUCAACCGACUUGCUAAGGGCCAACGUAAGUUAUAUAGCCUGGAUUACGGAUUACCUACCAUGAAAUAUCUCAAUAAUAAGUCUUAUUCUAUGUUCCAUAAUCAUAAGAUUAUAAUUUCAUUCAAAUAUACUUCUUUGAAAUAAUACUGAUAUUUAAUAAAUAGUAUUGGGUUUCUUCAAAUUAUGCAUGCUUCGGAUAUUUGAUUAACUUUGUUUCACGAACUCUAAAGCCCUAAAUUAAUAUGAAUAAUUUUAAAAAUAAGUUUAUCAAAGAUAUAGCUUUAUUGCUGGCAACAAAAAAGGUAUAGCUAUAUUGCAAGAUCUUAUACUAUUAUUUGGGGAGUACACUUUAUAAGAUACCCUUAACUAACCUUUCCUUUUGUAAGAAUUUACUUAAGAAUGCCAUUACAAAAAUCUUCUUUUAGAACAAAUUUCAUUCAAUUUAUUAAGAAUAAACAAGUAAAGUACUAGUUUAUGUCAUUUAAUUAAUUUGACUAAAUUAUAAAACGAAAAUUUGUUAUUAUUUUUUUUAAAUGACCAAUCAAAAUGAACAUAUAAGAUUUGAUAUCUAACUUAUCAUAUUAAUUUGUUAUUAAUCAUUAAACUUCACCUCUCAUCUUAAUAUGAUUAUAUUAAUAUGAAAAAAACUAAAUCAUCAUAUCAUCUACAUAAUAAAAAAAAAGUAAUUUUUUUUUCUGCAUAUGCCAAGAUUUGAAUUUUUAAAAACGCAUAUAAAUUGUUCAAUCUAUAAAGGAAACAAUUAAACGGGUCAAAAAUUCAGACUUGAGUAGUAUAUUUCUUUUACACAAAAAUAAAGUCAACAAAAAUUCCGACUGAGCAACAGGUCAGAAUUUGAAUAUUUAGAUUCGAUUUCAUACAUUUAUUUUUUUGAAAUGCAUAAUUUUAUAUACUACAAUAAAAAUUUAAAUAUUUUAAUUUGCAACAAUUAAAAUAAGUUUUACUUGAUAUUUUUAGAGAAUAUCAUCAAUACUUAAUAGUUCAAAAAGUUAAAAAUUAUAAAUACUCUAAUUUGAUUAUUUUUAAAAAUAUUUAUAAUAGUUAGCGGGUUAAAUAUAAUAUAUUAUACGAUGAAAUGAGUUUUGAUCCAUAUAACUAUUUGAAUAGUUAUAUUUAAUUUCAUACAAUUUGUUUUUUGAAAUUCAUAAUUUUAUAAACUACAAAAAAAAUUUAAAGGUUUUAAUUUGGAAUAUUUAAAAAUAGUGUAGAACAUUUAAAUAUGGUUUGACACCUCUAAAUAUUUGAAAAUUUGAUUCUGCAAGCAAUUUUAGAAUUAACGAAUAAUAGAUUGUGCACGCAAUAUUUUAAAAUGAAAUAUUGAGAUUCUAAAAUAAAAAUAUAGACUCCACGCACGGGUUGAUUUUUGUAUUAUUAUAUACUAAAUAUAUGUUUUUAACAUAUUUGAUUAUGCGAAUAAUUGGUAAAUUCCGUAAUUAUAAAUCUCAAACAAAUUCUGUAAUUAGAUUAGCUCAAACAAAUCUCUAUUUCAACAACCAAAGAAUCAUAAAUUGAAAAAGAAUUUUCUAAAUUAAUUCAAAAUAAUUGCUAAUUUUCUUAAUUAAUUCAAAAUAAUCUAUGUUUUAUAUGGGAUUCAUUUAUGAUAUUUUAAUUUUUGAUCUAACUGAAAUAUAUGCAAUCCUAUUUUGUGGUUGUUAACAUAAAUUAACUCAUUGUUCAAAAAAUAUUACUUUUCAAGAAAUAAAAUUAUUUUCUGUUUUCAUAUCUUAAAAAAAUUUAUCUAUAAUUGAGUAUUAUAAAAAAAGUUCUAUAUUUAUUCUAAUAUUGUAUACAGGGACUGACAAAAAAAUUAAUAUUUUUUCACUUACUAUUAUAAUAUAUUAAAACUUAGUUCUAAUAUAUGUAUUAUAUAAAUUUUGUAAUAAAUAAAAUUCAACCCGUACUUUAGUACGGAUGAUGAUCUAGUUAAAUAUAUAUAAGGAUAUCUCUAUAUUAUAUUCGUUAAUUGUGAUUUGUCUGGUUUAGUUUUCAACGAACAAAUAGUUAAAUAAUACUUUCUUUGUUUCUAAAUAUAAAAUUUUAGAGUUUUUAUUCUGUUUUAAAAUAUAAAAUUUAUUCACGUUUCUAUGCAUAUAUUUAUUUUCAUACUGUUAAAAGUAUCUAGUCAAAAAAAGCCAAAGAUCAAUCACAACUCGUAUUGAUGGCUUCCGAAAUUUUAAUGUGACUAUUAGUAUUCUUUCUCUACGAAUGAUUUUUGUUUAUCAAAUGAUGUUUUUGUUUAAGAAAUAAUUCUUUUUUAAUUUGUGUGUUUUAACCAAAAUAUCAUAUAUUUUAUUUUGAUAUUCAUCGUAACUUUCCAAAUUCAUAUCUCAAUGAAAAAUUAAAAGUUUUUAAAUACGGAAAACACAACUUACAAUCUAUGAAAGUUAUUUUAUCGACAAUCGUAGUACAUAUUAUAUAUAGUUUUAGGAAUUGAAAUAUCAUCAUUCUUCUAAUGAGAACCCUAUAAAUACCCACUAAACACUUGAAGAAAACUAAAUACAGUACUAAUUCACCUAUUGUUGGAGCUAUUCCACUCGACAAACAAAUGACUCCAAGAACCUCUCUUACACUCUUCCUUGCUCUCAACCUCCUCUUCUUCACUUACACAUCUGCCGCAUUAUUGCCACCGAUCCCGGGCAUCUCGGGCAUCCCGGGCAUCCCGGACAUCCCGGGCAUCCCGAACAUCCCGGGCAUCCCGGACAUCCCUGGCAUCCCGGACAUCCCGGGCAUCCCAGCCACGCCAAACACCCCAGCCAACCCAGCCACGCCAAACACCCCAGCCAACCCAGCCACGCCAAACACCCCAGCCAACCCAGCCACGCCAAACACCCCAGCCAACCCAGCCACGCCAAACACCCCAGCCAACCCAGCCACACCAAACACCCCAGCCAACCCAGCCACACCAAAAACCCCGGCCACGCCAAACACCCCGACCACGCCAACGACCCCUGCCACUCCAGCCACCCCAGCAACGCCAAACACACCAGCAACACCGACCACCCCAACGUCUCCGACACCCCGCACACCUCCAGGCACAGGUUCUUUAUCCUAGAGAUGCUCUAAAGAACGGUGUUUAAACUAGUGGACCUAGAUUGGAAUCUCACCUAAGCCAUGUUGCUCAUCUAAGGCUUGUUGACCUUGAGUCUUCAUUAUUCCUCUAUCUCUUCUUUGUAAUUGUGUCUUUUCAAUUUGAAUAAUAAAAUUAUAUCAACCGACCCAUGUUAUUGUUUAUAUUUGGUUAAUAUGUGUGCAACUUAUGCAUUUGCUGAGUAUCUUGAAUUUCCAAAGUUUGUUUUGUUUUAAGAAAUUAUGUCGCACAUAAUUUAGACAACAUUAAAAUAUUUUCUAUCUUUUAUCAUUUUUCAAAGACACUGUGUUAACUUUUUCUAUAGCAGUGCGAGUAGUUGAGCCACGAUAAAUCUCCAACACGAUACCACUGGCGUCCUCGCCACGAGGUAAAACGUCGGGAGGCUUCUCUAGAUAGUCUAGACUGCCGAGAUGUUUGGGUUAAAUGCAUCAUGAAGCGGAUAAUCCACGCCUCAUCACUGCCGGAGAAGAAAGCCUUCUCACCAACGCUUCACCAAAAAAAUCCACACCUUCAAUGAGGAUCUAAAAGCAACAAAAAAAACCCGGAAGUAAAUCUUUUUUUUUCCAAAGAUCCAAAGAGAGAAAAGAGAGAAGCGAUAGAACGAUUGUCCU